GUGUGUUGGUUAUAUCCUUUUUGAGUAUUGUAGAUUGUUCACAGUUUGUAACUGGUGAAGCAAGAGGAAUGUCUUCAGGCUUUUUACAUUUUCUUUGUUUUCAUCAAAAUUUGUAUGUUCAGAACCAUUACAGGAAACAGAGUUUGUGAUUUUAUGUAUUUUCAUUAUGGUACAAAAAUAGGCAAUAGUUCUCCAAUAACCUUGUGAGACUAUGCUAUAGGACUAAGAGCCAUUAUCUCCCCAAAAAAACUCGGAAGUGUAAAAUCAGACUGAACAUAUAUUAUGUCAUUCUGCAACAGUUAUGCUUGAUUUUCAGUGAACAAGCUAAAAUUAGACAAAAGUUCUGCAACAAUGCUAUAAGACUAUGCUAAGAAUCUUAGAGCCAUUAUUUCUCAAAAUUGUGUAAAUUCAGAUUGAAAAUUUUAUUUAGACAGAUGAGAAACUCAUUUUAUUUGUCAUUCUGAAACAGUUACACAAGAGUUGAUCUUCAGAGAACAAGAUUCAUGAACAAUUUACACGAAAAGAAAAGAGAGGAAAACUCAACAAUUUACUGAAAUAUUUGAUAUCAAGAGUGUUAUGUUUAUAAACGAGAUAGUUUUUCAAGUCUCAAAAUAAAUUUUAGAGACUACCUUAGCUCCUCUUCCUUUAGCCAUAUAUAGACCUACAUGGUGCAUCAACUCCUGGUACAUAGAAACAUAGCAGAAGAAUAAGAAGAUGAACCGAUUCGACCAGAAAAAAUUAAACUAAACAUGCUAAUUUCAGAAGCAUCAAACUAUUCACCUGAGGAUGAGCCUGAGCGCCUUUGAUAUCUUUCGCAACAUGAAGAGGGAGGUCAAAAGUAGCGCAGCCACGCGAGUAAACUACCACAUCUUCUAGGGGAGAAAGAACACCGUGGUUUCGGGCAGAGAGUGCAGUAGCCACAAAAUCAAACACACAUAUGUCUGUACAGAUACCUACAACCACAAUCUUUAGAUCCCCAAAACAUAGGGAUGUUCAAGGAAGUUAAAGAUAUGAUUCCUAAAAGCAGUAAACUUGUUUAACAUAACUGAUCAUACAUAUCAUCAAAAGAAAACUUACAACUUUGAUCUGUUUUUCCUUAAUCCAAUCCACAAAAACAUUAGAACCAUCUUUCUCCAUCGAACCCACAAACCCAUCAAUACAAUCCUUUCGCCUAAGAGUGGCACAAUUCUCACUUUCAAGCCAUUUCAGAGCUGAUUCAUUAUUAUCAAAAGAAGAAAGAAAUCAAGACACUAUCUUCACUGGUUAUAAAAUCAAACAAAGACAUUAACAGAGCUACAAUACCAGGAACAAGUUCAGCUUCUUCAGUUCCUAUAAUACAAUGAGGAGGAUAAGGUAUCUCCGGAAUAUCCGGAUGAUGAGAGUCAAUAAAGGCCAAAACCGGCCAUUUCCGAUCACAGAACUCUCUAGCAAGCUUUGCACUUUCCUCCACCAUCUUCGAUAUUUGUUCAUUAUGCUUUGUUGGAGCCUGCAAAAUCACAAGUCAAACAACUUCACUUAGGCAAUAUCACAAACACUUGGAAGACAUUAAGAAACAAAAACAAACAAAGUCGCAAUUUUUGCGAGAAAUUAUAUCAAUUCGUUAAAAAAAAACGUUUGAAUGAAGCAAUAUCACAAACACUUGGAAGACAUAAAGAAAAAUAAUCAACCAAAGUUCCAAUUUUUUUCGAGAAAUUGAACCAAACCAUAUUGCCGGAGCCAAUUGUGCAGAAGCCAUUAACAACGUCAACGAUGACGAGACCAACGCUCGAGUCUCGAUUCAAAUUGAGAGAUUCUUCUUCAUCCACUGGUAUCUGCUUCUUUAGCUGAUCGAAUAUCGUUUCAUGAUUCGCCAUAUCGAUACGAGAUUUGAAGAAAUUGAGAAAACUGGAUCAAAAUUUUCUAAGUAGAGGAGAAAUGCGAAGCAAGUUCUGGUCAUGUUACAAUUUUCAGAAAUCUAAAGUUUUGUUUUAAUAAUUCAAAAAAUGACAUUGUCAACAACUGGGGGUGUAGCUCAUAUGGUAGAGCGCUCGCUUCGCAUGCGAGAGGCACGGGGUUCGAUUCCCCGCACCUCCACUUUUUUAAAUUCUUUCUUUAUAGUAUUUGUUUCUCUUGUUCGUUCAGACGACAGCAGAUUAUGGGCUAACAAAACUAUCCCGUAAAAUGAAAACAGUUCCCCCAGUCACACGUGAAGCCCUUCCAGUGUUUUUUUUUUUUUUUAAUGCUUUUAUAACUCAAACUUUGUUUUUUAUCCAUCAAAAAUGAACCUUUAUGUUUUUGGAAAUUUUCUCGUUUUUAUGCAGAACUGAUCAUAAAUAUACGGAAUGAAAAAUGGCAUAAUGAAAUUACUUUUUAAAAAAAUAUGUUGAUUAAUAUAUACAUAUAUUUAAUAAACAAAAUAAUGUUUUUACUAAUUUUUAAGUAAUAAUUGAUAAUAAAAAUAUAUAAAUAAAAAUAUAUAAAUAUUAAAAACUUAAAUAUCAUAAAAAUAGUAUAAGUUUAUUGUAAAUACCUUUCUGAUUGCUAAAUAUUUUGUAUGUAUAAAAUAAUAAAAAUCCUUUAUGCAAAUAAACAACUAUAUAUACUCAACUUAUUUGUAUAAUGAGAUUUUACUUUUAUUUUUUAGGCGAAAACACAAAUUCUGCGUUUUUGUGUGUUUCUAAUGCUAUUGGCAAACUUUGUUGCAUAAUAACAUUAAAAAACGUUAUUCCGCCCAAUUACCAAUAGAAGCCUGUAUCUGUAUAAUGAUAACUCAAGAUUUACCAUACGUCUUACCAACCUAAGGGGGUGUUAUUCAAUGGUGGAGUUAAAGUCAAUUCUUUAAGGUUUAGAUUUGUUUUCUGAUAUUGGUUUUAAGAAUCUGUUUGUGUGGAUUUCAAAAUCUCUGCAGUAUAUCUUGGAUUUUGAUUCUAAUAAUUUACUCAUAAAACUCCAAAGAGGUUUUAUUUGAAAUGACUUAAUAUACAAAAAUUUUACAAGUCUUUUAGUUUUGAAUAACACUGGAUUUUACAAAUCUGAAAGAAUUGAUUUUAACUCCACCAUUGAAUAACACCAAAUUUUUAAAAUCUAAUGAAGUAUAAGAUCUAAUAACACCAGAUUUUAACGUUAGAUUUAUAAUCAUUAGUUGAAUAACACUGGAUUAGUGUUGGAUUUCAAUUCUAUUAAAAUCCAUGAAUAACACCACCUAAAUUAAUCUCACCCGUUCAUUUGUAGACUCACCUACAACAUCUGCUUCCACAAUCACAUGAAAUAAAAAAACUGUACUUUUAUCGUAUGAUAUUAUAAAUAACCACGUCCCCACUGAGAUUUCGUAAAUAUCUUUCUGCUUGCCUAUAAAUGAAUAUAGUCAAAAGUUACAUAUUAUCAGAGUGACAAUGACAAACUUCAAAUACAACAAUGGAGAUGAAACAAAGCUCCACGUGGUAAUGUCUCCAUGGUUAGCCUUUGGUCAUAUGGUUCCAUAUUUGGAGCUCUCUAAGCUCAUAGCUCAAAAGGGUCACAGUCUCUUUCAUGUCUACUCAGGGCCGGCUCAGACCUAAAGCCCAUCAAACAUGUGCUUUAAGCAUCAUAUUAUAUUUUAGUUUUUAAGGGGCAUUAAAUUUCAGAAAAGAUCUUGUAGUACAGUGGUUAAUGUCUCAUUUAUUGCUGGAAUUGACGAGUUUGAGUGACAUUAAGACGAAUUUUUAACAUUUUUUUUGUAUUUUUGUUGGUUAAUGAGUAACAAAAACAUUUUGGGCUUUAGGCAUCCAAAUCCUUUGGGCCGGCCCUGUCCACUCCACGUAACAUCGAUCGUCUCCUCCCACGGUUGCCGGAAAAUCUCUCCUCCAUCAUUAACUUCGUCAAGCUCCCACUUCCCGUCGGCGACAAUAAACUCCCGGAAGACGGUGAAGCUACCACCGACGUGCCUUUCGAACUCAUACCUUACUUAAAAAUCGCUUUCAACGGGUUAAAAGUUCCGGUGACGGAGUUUCUUGAAUCUUCGAAACCCGAUUGGGUUCUUCAAGAUUUCGCGGCGUUUUGGCUUCCUCCAAUCUCUCGUCGUCUCGGAAUCAAAACCGGAUUCUUUAGCGCUUUCAACGGCGCGACGCUCGGGAUUCUUAAACCGCCGGGAUUCGAAGAGUACCGUACUUCUCCCGUUCUCCGGCGGAUUUUAUGAAGCCGCCUAAGUGGGUCCCGUUCGAAACUCCGGUAGCUUUCAAGUUAUUCGAAUGCCGGUACAUAUUCAGAGGAUUCAUGGCGGAAACCACCGAAGGGAAUAUUUCCGACAUCCACCGUGCCGGCGGCGUAAUUGACGGCUGUGACGUCAUCUUCGUACGAGUAUGAAGCAGAGUGGUUAGGACUUAUGCAAGAUCUUCACCGGAAACCGGUUAUACCGGUGGGAGUUUUACCUCCAAAACCGGAAGAAAAGUUUGAAGAUACCGACACGUGGCUGACUGUUAAAAAGUGGUUGGACUUACGGAAAAGUAAGUCCGUUGUUUACGUAGCUUUUGGUUCAGAAGCUAAACCGAGUCAAACGGAGCUGAAUGAGAUCGCUCUUGGUUUAGAGCUUUCCGGUUUACCUUUCUUCUGGGUGUUAAAGAAUCGGCGUGGUCCGUGGGAUACCGAACCGGUUGAGCUUCUAGAAGGAUUCGAGGAGCGUACAGCGGAUAGAGGUAUGGUGUGGAGAGGUUGGGUUGAGCAAUUGAGAACAUUGAGCCAUGACUCGAUCGGUUUGGUUCUAACUCAUCCCGGUUGGGGAACGAUAAUUGAAGCUGUCCGGUUUGCUAAACCGAUGGCAAUGCUGGUUUUUGUGUACGACCAAGGAUUAAAUGCGAGAGUAAUCGAAGAGAAGAAAAUUGGUUAUAUGAUCCCUCGGGAUGAAACAGAAGGUUUCUUUACUAAAGAAAGUGUUGCGAAAUCACUAAGAUUGGUAAUGGAGGAAGACGAAGGAGAGGUUUAUAGAGAGAAUGUGAAGGAGAUGAAAGGAGUGUUUGGAGACAUGGAUAGACAAGAUCAUUAUGUGGAUUCAUUCUUGGAUUAUCUUGUUGCUAAUCGUUAAGUUUGAGCAUGGAGUCUUGAUCCAAUGGCGGGUUAAUUGAAUGAACUUGUGAUACUUAUAAUAAUGGAAUUUGAUCAAGUGUUGCAACGAUGAUCAAUGUAUAAUAUUAUGAUGUUUUGGAAUGGUCAAGUUUUUUUUAGUACAAAAAAAGUUUAACGUCUCAUGUGUUGCACAUUUUUUAUAGUAACAAUUCAUCUUCUUGUAUUAGCAAGAACAUCGAGCAAAAUUGUGAAACCAAUCUAAGGCCUAAACAAAAUGGUCGGACCGAAACUAAGAAACCGAACCAAAUAUAAGACAAAGAAUGGUCUUUGUGAUUAGGAGCACUAUCUUCAAUUUUCUAUUUUUUCCUUGUUUGUAGAAUCCAUAAUUCUAAGUUUCUAACUUCUUGUAAUGUUUUCCUAUUUAAGAGAAGAAAACCCAGAGAGCAACGGUAAAUUAUGUUUGUAUGUUAAACCAUGUGUUUUAAAUUUUCUAAGCUUGUUAUUGAAACCAUAUUCGUGGUAUCAGAACUUCCAUUUUGAUUUUGAUAUGGAGCAUAAUUUGUGCUAUCAAAACCGCACAAAAAAAACAAAAAAGACCACCUUGUGUAGUAAUUCGUCUUUUUAUUUUGGCUUUAAUCCGAGUCAUGAAUUGUGGUAUCAAAUAAUCUAUACAAAAGAGGAAGAAAACUUUGUUCAUCCUCAAUUGCGUCUCCACAUUCAAAUUUUUCUUCUCCAAAACUUUGAUUCAGUUGGAACGAAUAAGUCACUUGGAAGAACAUGUUCUUGUUGUGUUGUGGAAAAGAUUUUUAGGAUUUUCAGCGAACAUUGAGGACAAGGUACUUUAGAAGACGAACAUAUUGGUGCAAAUACAGGAUCAACAAACAACCACAAGAUGGAUGGAUCGACUAAUAAACGGAACAAAGAAUAUUCAAUUAAGGGGGUGAUUGGAAGGCUUUAAAAGUUUUUAACUUUUUUCUGUAAGGUUUUUAAAGUUUAAUUUUUACCAAUCACACUUUAAUUAUUUAAAAGUUUCCUAAUUUUUCUCACAGUCCAUUUUAUUCCUUCAUUUUUAAAGCCUCAUAAACCUCACUUUAGAAAUCUAAAAAAUAAAAGCUAACAGUUUUUUUUCUCAUUUUUUCUUUCCCAAAUGUAUAAACUUCUCAUAAAAAAAAAAAUUGAACUUGAUGUCAUGAUGAUGAAUUUUGAUAAACAUGCAAUAUUCAUACAUAAAUUUGUGGUUAUGUCAUCGUUUGGAUUUUUGUUUUGAUUUAUUUACGGCAAAAUAAAUUUAUUCAUUCAAAUUCGAAACAGACGAGUUUUUUUAAUAGAAAACCAGUCCAAAAUAGAAGAGCUUACAUGGAAAAAUAUAGAACCACGUGAUCGUACAUAUUUUGCAAUGCAGUCAGCACAUAUGUUGUUACAACAUAGAAUACAUGAUAAAGUAAAAGAGGGAAAAAAGAGUUUCAUAGUUUGGAUUUAAAUCCGGUAUAAUUUAUAUUGUUUAAAGUUAUAAUUUUUAUAGUCACAAUUUUUACUAAUCAGUUUUAAUAUUUUUAAAAUUAAAGUCUAACAAAAGUUACUACAGUUAGUCUCUCUAGCCUAAUGUAAUCUUUGACUUUUAGUUAAUCAUUGAUAAUAAAGAGUGAUCUUCUUUGUGCUUACUGUUUAGGAGGACAAUGUCUACUUUCCUUUGUUUGUAAGGAAUUCAUGAUUCCCACUUUAUGUACCAUGUUUCUAUUUUAGAAAGAAAAAAAAAAUGUUGAAGUAUAAAGACAUAUUAUUGUAAUCUUUCUAAGAUCGUGAUCUGGACCGCAUCAAUUAAAAACGAAUAUUGAGGAUUUUUCUAGCUAAUGCAACUGCGAGAGAGUUCUACAAACGAGGAACUAAAGUUUAUUAAUAUAUAUAAAAAAAAAAAAAAAAGAGAAGGAAAACCAUAACUCAAAUUUUGGAAAAUGGUUAUUCAAAGAAAACAUCAAAUUGAAUUUGAAUGAGUUCAAGUUACUAGGUUAAAUCUUUUAUUGUUGAUUAUAUUUAUAUUGGACUAAUUACGUUGGAAAAACUUAAAAGUUGAUAAGUUCUCAGGCAAUCAUCCGUUGAUACAUACUAUGGUUUUUAUAUGGUUUCAACUUUUAUAAAACCAAAAAACAGUAAUACCGUAAAAAUAGAACUGCAACCAAACCAAAUUACAUAUUGUUUUUAUAUGGUUUCAGUUUUAUUAGGAAUGUGGUCUAACUUAACCCAAAAGUUAGCUCAAGAGUUAAGGAUUGUCACAUCCUUUAUAUACUUCCCAAAGACCUUAAUCCCAAGCAAUGUGGGAGAUUCUAAUAGGCCUUCUCGAGAUGUGGGUGGGAAACGGUCCAACGGAAAACAGCCCAAGCCCAACAUCUCGGAAAUACAACAAGACAUGCCACUUAUAUGGGCCACAUAGGUAGGAAACCAUUUUUGUGGGAAUUUGCUUGUUGGGCCAACCUUGGGCUCUGAUACCAUAUUAGGAAUGUGGCCUAAGUUAACCCAAAAGCUAGCUCAAGAGUUAAGGAUUGUCACAUCCUUUAUAUACUUUCCAAAGAUCUUAAUCCCAAGCAAUGUGAGAGAUUCUAAUAAGUUUCUAUAAAACCGUAAAAUUAAAAAAAAAAAACGAACCAAACUAAACCGAAAAACCAAACGCCCCACCCCUAAACAGUAAACACCACACUUGCAACAGAUACAAAUGUUUUGACUUUAAAACUUUACGUCAGUCAUACCUUUUAAAACUUUUAAAAGGAACUAGACAAAAAUGGGAGAGAUAUUUGUCGGUUGCGACAUACCACGUAACUUUUAAAAACAUUUUAAAGUCUUAAAAUCCUCAUCCAAUCACCCCUUUGACAAAAAUUUAGCGUUUGCGUUUUGAAACGCUGAACGUAAUCGCCCGAGUGAACGUUUGACAAAAUCGAAACUUAAGAUUGUCAAUUUCCUUCACCCAUUAUUAACCUUUCCUUUUCUACAAUCAUACUGAUAUAAAAUCUCUGCGAAAAUCGUGGUGAUUUCAGAGAUUCUCGCGUCCUAAGUAAAAUCAAAUCGUGGUUUUACCCUUUUUAACUCUCUCUAUAAAUCAAAAACUGAUCUUUUAGCGUUUUAAAAAAAUAAAAAAACAGAUCUUUAGCGUUUUCUCGUUCCCGCUAACUUCACCGUGACUUCAACGAAGAGUCGUUUCACUAAAUUGCGCCGCCAUGAGCAACCGCCGUGGAGUAACAACCGCCGUGUCGAAACGGCGUCCGGUGAUUCACGUGUUACCAGACGAAACAGCGAUACGAGUAGUCUGCCACGCGUCAGUAAUCGGCGGUAUCAUCGGUUCAAAUGGUUACGUUGUUUCCAAACUCCGUCGUGAAACCGGUACAAAAAUCCAUUGCGAGUCUCCGGUUAACGGCUCCGAUCACUGGGUUGUCUUCAUCGUUGGUUCAACCGCUGUUAACAAAAGUGUUCUAUUGACUGAUAGAGUCGGAGAUUUCUCCGGCGGUGAACACGAAGAUUGGGUGACUUGUGAUGUUUCCGCAGCUCAGACGGCGUUGAUUAGGGUUUUGGAGAGAUCAUGGGUUGUUUUAGCGGCGAAGGAUGGCGGCGGAGUUGUUGAUGGUGAGGAUGAAGAAGCUUAUUGUGGGAUUUUGGCUGAUCGGAAUCAGAUUGGUGCUGUUUUGGGUUUGGGUGGGAAGAAUGUGGAGUGGAUGCGGAGAAGUUCUGGUGCCAUGAUUAGGGUUUUGCCUCCUCCGAUUUGCGGCACUAACACUGAUGAACUCAUUCAGGUUAGGGUAAAACUAAAACUUUAAAGUCUUUAGCUUUUUGAAAAAUUCUGGGUUUAGUGUUGAAGAAGUAGAAGCAGUAACAUUGUGGUGAUGUAUGUAAAAAUCGAAAAAGUUGAUAAAUUUGUUUCUUUUUUUGGUUUUUGAUUUGUGAAUGUCACUUCUUUGUGUGUAUUAGAUUACUGGCGAUGUCUUGGCUGUGAAGAAGGCACUAGUUAUGGUAUCGACUUGUAUUCAAGAUAAUCCACCUGUCAACGGGUAUCCACAGCCGCUUUGCAUCAAAGCUUACGAGUCAUCUACUGAUGGGAACUCAGAGGAUCCACAUUCUGAGUUUUUUCCAAACCUGCGUUCUUCGGUGCCUAAUGCUUCAGAUUCUGCUUCGUCGAAUAGACAUUUACCAGCGGUGUAUGAUGAAGGAAAUGGUACAGAACGAAAAGUUGUGUUCAAGAUAAUCUUCACAAGUGUUGUAGCUGGAGGCAUUAUUGGGAAACAAGGAACAAUUAUCAGAGCUCUGCAGAAUGAAACAGGUGCUUCUAUUUCGAUUGGAGCUCCAUUGAAAGUAUCCGGUGAGCGAGUUGUUACUAUUUCUGCACGUGAGGUAUAGGUUUCUAUUCUCAUGCUUGCUGCUAUAUGUUUAUCCGAGUUUCUUUGUUGACAUAAUCACAUUCGCUUUGUUUUUUUUCUUAGAACCUCGAGUCACGGUACUCUCAUGCACAAAAUGCUCUGGCUCUUGUCUUUGCAAGAUCUGUUGAGAUUGAUGUUGAGAAAGGUCUGCGUCCGGGAUUGCACAAUGGUGCUGUAGUGAAAACUAAGCUAUUGGUACCAUCGCAAUUUGCUAAUAGCUUAGUUGGAAACGGAAACAGAGAAGCAAUCAUAGCAACCGGUGCUGAUGUACACAUUCCAGUAGACAACCAGAUUUUAGAAUGGAUCUCAGAAAAUGAAGUGGUGAUUGAGGUAACUGCGUGUUAACUUGUAAUCAGUGUAUGCUUUUUCCCUUAGAGAUGAGAACAUUGCACAAUUAACCGAGAUUUGCUCCUUUUGAUUCGCUUAUUGUUUUCAGAUUAAGGGAGAGUAUGGUCAUGUACAGAAGGCCUUGACUCAUGUUUCAUCCAAAUUACGGGAAAACCUAUUGCCAAAGAAGGUCCUCGGAGAAAUGAGAGCUAGAGUUAGUAAUCCAUAUGAAAGUGCAGGAACAAGCCAGAUUUAUAAUCUGAAACAAUCACAACAAGUAAGUGUGUUUCUUUCCCCCAAGCUAGAGUUUAGUUGCUUCCAUCUAAUCUUUAUUCAACAAAACCGCAGAACUCAAGCAGAGGUGAUUCUCUCUCGGUAUCAGAUGGUGAACAAAACUUUAAGAUGGUCAGAAGCGGUGCAGAAGUAAUGAAAUUGAAUUCUGUAAUGCACACCGAGGUCCUUAAAGAGGUGGAUGAACUCAAAGGCUUUACACUUCCACAAAGUUUGCUGGAGGAUGACUUGACACAGGAAAUGAAACAGCUUCAGAUGUCUAGGAAUGGAGACGUCUCUUCUUUACCACAACGGUCUGUUCUUGCCAAACAACAACGGUUCCAUGUUGUUAACAAUCAUUCUCGAUGAAUAUUACAACAGAGUUGGUUUUUGUUUUGAAGCAGAGGUAAAGGUGUAUAUGUGAGAAAAAUCACAUUGGAGUUAACCGUCGAGAAAGAUGCUCUUGGUUCACUCUAUGGCAGAGAUGGCACCGGUGUGGAUAAUCUACGACAGGUACAUAAAUCAGACCUUCUUGCAAUAUAUCCCAUAAGAUGCUAGACAAUGAAGUUGAUUGAGAGUUCUUGCAAACUUACAGAUUUCAGGAGCCGGAGUGGAUGUGAAGGAUCCUACAGGAAUUGAAGCGACGGUCUUAAUAAUCUCCGGGAAUCCUGAGCAAACCCGCACAGCGAUGUCUUUGAUCGAGUCAAUCCUUGAUGAUCAAUGAUUGUGUGUAUGCAACUACUUUUGGUUUGUUUCGUUUUGUCUAUUCCCAAAACUCCAGCCUUAUUUUUUGUGACUGGUUUUUGAAAACUAGCAUUUGUUGCUCGUUAGAAUCUAAUGCAGUGUUGUUAUCUUAGAAGAAUACAACAUUUUGCCGGUUUACCAAUGCCGGUUCACGAUUCAUUUUGUCGGUUUACCAAUACCGCAAUACAACAACAGCCAAGAAAAUUUUAAAAUCAUACCAAUACCGGGUUACGUUUCAUUUUACCGGUCUGAUGUGUUCGGUUUGGUUAAAAGUUAAUAUGGACUAUGGGCCCAAUACAAAAAAGUGAAGGCCCAUGUAAACUUUACGGGGAACGGUAACACAAAUAAUCUUAACGGUCGUCUUCGGAGAUUUCAAAAUUUAAACACAAAACGCAGAAAAGGAAAAUCAAAUAAUUCCUCCGGUCACGCCUUUCUCUUAUCUCUCUCUCUCUCUCUCUCUCUCUCUCUCUCUCUCUCUCUCUCUCUCUCUCUCUCUCUCUCUCUCUCUUUUAUCUUUCUCUGCAUAUCAUAAGCUUUUCAAUUUAUUCAUCUACGAAACGAUUUGCUUUUGGGAUUUGGAGAAGUUUCAUAAUGGAAGAUGUUCAGAUCGAUGCUACUGUUCCGGUGGAUCCAAAUGUCACGUCACUUUGUUCACCGAAGAUUCCUAAUUUCGAAUUUAUUAGUGAUGAAACAGAGAAAUUAGAGAUCGGAGAUACUUCCAUUGAUGACUGUGAUGAUUCUUUGGGCGAUUCCAUGGUGUGUGAUCCGAAUUCAAGAUUGGUUCCCACUGGCUUCACAAGACCUAAUCACACAGGUUCAAUUCUCUCACUUUCGAUUUCAAUUUUACAAAAUCGAGUUUGAUCUUGGGUUUUGGAUCUGAUUCUUUUACCCGAUUACUUAGUGUUAAACCCUAGGGUUUCAAUGAGAGUUAUGCAUUGAGGGAUUGAUUUUUGUUAUUGGUGUUAGCAGAUGAGACAAUUAUGUUCAUAAAUGCUGGAGGAGAUGAUUCAAAGGUAUUAGAUUCUGAAUUGAAUAUCCUCAGAGACACCUAUUUCGAAGGAGGGGAUGUGCUUAGAACAGAAGAGUCUAUAGUUGAAGCUGGAGACUUUCCGUUCAUUUAUCAGUCAGCACGUGUUGGGAACUUUUGUUACCGGUUAAACAAUCUUCUUCCUGGAGAGUACUUGAUCGAUUUCCAUUUCGCGGAGAUUAUUAAUACCAAUGGACCUAAAGGGAUAAGGGUUUUCAAUGUCUAUGUUCAGGAUGAGAAGGCAAGUAGAACAACUGAAGAUGGUGUUUUUUUUUUUCAUGUAGUUAUGAAUAUGAGAUUUGUGUAAAUGCUGAAAGAAGUGUUUUUGUUAUGUUUCAGGUGUUAGCUGAGUUUGAUAUAUUCUCUGUUGUUGGCGCAAAUAGGCCACUCCUGUUGGUUGACUUAAGGGUCAUGGUAAUGGAUGAUGGAUUGAUUAGGGUAAGGUUUGAAGGAAUAAAUGGAAGUCCAGUGGUUUGUGGGAUUUUUCUGAGGAAAGCGCCACAGGUUUCAGGUAAUGGCUCUUCUCUUGUGCUUGCUUUUAACUUGUUUAGGGAAUCUUCAAAGUUUUCAGUUUCCAACUCAUUCGUUGCAUUACUUUACAGUUCCAAGGACAUCACAAGAUUAUAUUAAGUGUGAGAAUUGUGCUACCGAAAUAGAGAUUUCUCCUACUCGGGUACUGUUUAACUAGUUUUGCUGGUUCGUAUUCCUAAAAAUAUAAGUGUUAUGGAUUACCUGAGCUUCUUCUUUAUUUAUGUUGAUAUUUGAGCAGAAAAGACUUAUGCGAGCCAAAGCUCAUGACAAGUAUGAGAAGAAGAUAGCAGAGCUUUCUGAACGAUACGAACAUAAGACAAAUGAAUGCCACGAAGCAUGGAUGUCAUUGACCUCUGCCAAUGAGCAACUAGAGAAAGUGAUGAUGGAACUCGACAAUAAGAUGUACCAGGCACGCUCUCUAGGUAAUGAACUUGUCAUUAUAUCACAUGUGGGUGAAAGUGGGAAAAAUUCCCAUCAAUGUCAAUGUCAAUCCAAAUUUGUUACUAUUAUGUCUUUUUUUGACGGAGGUUUUCUUACUUGAUUCGGUGCUUACUUGAAACAGACCAAACUGUGGUAACACAAGCUGAUUGUUUGAAGAGUAUCACUAGCAAGUAUGAGAAUGACAAGAGACAUUGGGCCACAGCACUUGAUACUCUGCAGGAGAAAAUAGAGGUAGCUGUGUAUUUCCUCAAGUACUGUUGUAUCCAGUAUAUAUGUUUUUGAAAGAUUUCUUUUUGGAACUUAUGAAACUGUUGCUGUGCAGAUAAUGAAAAGGGAACAAUCUCAGCUAUCACAAGAAGCACAUGAAUGCGUGGAAGGGAUCCCCGAAUUGUAUAAAAUGGUUGAUGGAGUUCAGGCACUAGGUGAGUUUAUUACCUCCACUCAUUUGGUCUGAAGAUGGGAUUUAAAAGGGAAAUUUGAUGAACUAAUACAAUAUCAACUCGUAAAAACAGUUUCACAGUGCGAAGAUCUCAAGCAGAAGUACAGUGAAGAGCAAGCAAAGCGAAAGGAGCUGUACAACCAUAUACAAGAGACUAAAGGCAAUGAAUCUUAUUUAGAUUAUUGAUUUGCUUUAGCUUCUUUACAUCAUACUUUAAUAAUUUACUGAUAGCAUGCAUCCUUAUAUCAGGCAAUAUUAGGGUCUUUUGUCGCUGCCGCCCUUUGAAUAAGGAGGAGACAUCAACUAAGUCUGCCACAAUUGUUGACUUUGAUGGAGCAAAAGAUGGAGAGCUUGGUGUUAUUACAGGAAAUAAUUCCAAGAAAAGUUUCAAGUUUGACAGAGUUUAUACACCGAAAGAUGGUCAAGGUAGUGUGAUAUGUCAUGGUCAAGUUAGAUCAUUAAGUAUAAAUAACACUAAUAAUUAACAAAGUUUCUAUCUUUAUUCCGCAGUUGAUGUUUUUGCCGAUGCUUCUCCUAUGGUUGUUUCAGUCCUAGACGGCUACAAUGUUUGUAUUUUUGCCUACGGACAAACAGGAACAGGAAAGACGUUUACAAUGGAAGGUACUCCACAGAACAGGGGUGUUAACUAUAGAACCGUCGAGCAAUUGUUUGAAGUUGCUAGAGAAAGGAGAGAGACAAUUUCAUAUAACAUAUCGGUUAGUGUCCUUGAGGUCUACAAUGAACAGAUAAGAGACUUGUUGGCAACAUCACCAGGGUCAAAGAAGUAAGAAUUCUCUACCUAAUUAAAUCGUAAACAAAUAGGGAUUGAAACAGAAGUUUAUCUUAAUUCUUUUUGGAUUUUGCUACCAAGGUUGGAGAUAAAACAAUCCUCUGAUGGCUCUCAUCACGUUCCUGGAUUAGUAGAAGCAAAAGUGGAUAAUAUAAAUGAAGUCUGGAAUGUGCUUCAGACUGGGAGCAAUGCAAGAUCAGUUGGAUCAAAUAAUGUGAACGAGCAUAGCAGCCGCUCUCACUGGUACCAUAUAUGCCUCUCUUGCUAUCUUGUUUGCUUAUUUCACAUUUUGUGUCACAUUAUGAGGGUUGUUUAAUAUUGUUAAUCCUUGCAGCAUGCUCUCUAUAAUGGUAAAAGCAAAGAACCUAAUGAAUGGUGAUUGCACAAAAAGCAAGCUUUGGCUUGUAGAUUUAGCUGGAAGUGAGAGAUUGGCAAAGACAGAUGUGCAAGGUGAGCGUCUGAAGGAAGCUCAGAACAUCAAUAGGUCACUUUCAGCUCUCGGGGAUGUAAUAUAUGCAUUGGCUACAAAGAGUAGUCAUAUUCCAUACAGGUUCGUUUAAACUUGCAUAAUUAUUAACACUUUAUACCUUGACUGCUUUAACACUUUCCAAUUAUUAACUUCAGGAACUCAAAAUUAACACAUUUGCUUCAAGAUUCACUGGGUAAGAAACUUCAUGACCUUUGUUUAAAUAUCAAUCCGUGAUUACACUGUGCUUCUUCUGGUAAUCUAGUGUGUAUGUGAAAAUGAUGCAGGAGGUGACUCAAAGACUCUGAUGUUUGUGCAAAUCAGUCCCUCUGAGCAUGAUGUAAGUGAGACUCUAAGUUCACUUAACUUUGCAACUCGUGUAAGAGGGGUUGAAUUGGGUCCUGCGAGGAAGCAAGUUGAUACCGGUGAGAUCCAGAAGUUGAAAGCAAUGGUAUGACUUCUGCAAGUUUUUUCUUAUUCUUCCUGGAUUUGUCUUUUUAGAUUGUGUAACAGAUUUUCCUUAAUUGUUUCUUGUAUAACUUUUAAAGGUGGAGAAAGCAAGGCAUGAAAGCCGAUCUAAAGAUGAAUCCAUAAAGAAACUGGAGGAGAACAUACAGAACCUGGAAGGUAAGAACAAAGGCAGAGACCACUCAUACAGAAGUCUCCAGGAAAAGAACAAAGAACUCGAAAGCCAACUUGAUUCACUCCAUAACCAAUCAGAAAAACAAAACGCACAGCUCCAAGAAAGACUAAAGAGCAGAGAUGAGAUUUGUAGCAAUCUCCAACAUAAGGUUCCUUCUCUUUUUUUCAUUUCUGCUUAACAUUUCAUCGAUCACCAUUUCAUGGCUAACAUAAUUUAUUUUUCCCAUUAAAGGUCAAGGAGCUAGAGUGCAAGCUACGGGAGAGACACCAAUCAGAUUCUGCAGCUUACCACCAGAAGGUAUCUUUAGUUCAAUACUGUUACAUAAAUCUCAUAAUGUUUUGUUGAGGAAUACCAAACUUGUUAAAAUGAUGCCUGCAGGUUAAGGAUCUUGAGAAUAACUUGAAAGAAUCUGAAGGAAACUCCCUUGUGUGGCAACAGAAGGUUAAGGAUUAUGAGAAUAAGUUGAAAGAGUCUGAAGGCAACUCUCUUGUGUGGCAACAGAAGGUUAGGAGAACGACAGAUCCAUUUAUCAAACUUUUCAUUUGCAAAAUAUCACCAUCUCGAUCUUCUAUUCGAUAUUGUGUCCCAGAUUAAAGAGUUGGAGACAAAACACAAAGACGAGCAAAGCCAAGAAGCAGUGAUACUACGACAGAAGGUUAGUUUCAUGGAUUGGCUCAGGAUUUUCGAGCUUCUGAAUUCCCGGUAUCAAAAAUUGUUUGUUAUUUCGCAGAUUAAAGAACUUGAGAUGAGGCUAAAGGAGCAAGAGAAGCAUAUACAACAAAUGGCAACAACUAGAGAAUUUCCCGAUGUUGCGAAUGCUACUCCUAACGAAGUGAAAACUUGCUUCAAAGAAGAUAACUUUGGCAAUGAGAAUAUGGAAUCCAACAACAACAUCCUGAGAACAUCAAACCGUCUCAAGACUAAAAGACACGAUUCACUAAAUCUCAAUGAGAUGACUAGAAAGAAGAGAGCCUCGAGAAGCGGCGAAACAGAGAACAAUGGUGAUGAUCCUCAAAUGAAGGAGAAAAGGAUCAGGAAAUCAGACCCACCAAAAGUUAUCUCCAGAGUAGUCAGACCAACAAGACCAGCUUCUGGUUCAUCAAGCCAAGUCCCUGUGGCUCAUAAGAGAGUUAUUAAAAGAGAACAACAAGAAGUUCUGGUCGGGAAAGAGAGAGACUCCAAGAAGAAGAUUUGGUCAAGAUAAAUAAUAUCACUCAAUAGCAUAGAGAAACUCUUAAUCUCUUGUGUUUCUCUAUAUGAUUUUCUCUGUAUGAAAUUGAAUAUUAAUACUUUCAUACACUUUUCAAAGCCAUGAUCACAUUGUUAUUUCAAUCUUCAUAUAUAAACAUUAAUACAUAUUUGGUCUUAUUAUAUUCAUUCACCAUCAUAUUACAUCCAAAUAAAUAAAUUUAAACCUCCUUCUACACUAAAUUAUUUUAACUCUUAUCCAAUUUAUUUUUUCAAGUUCUAAAAGGACUUUCAAGACGAAUAUAAUCAUACAUAACACCUUGAAACAUUCCUAUACUUCUCGUUUGAGUUAAAUAUAUUGUAUUAUCACCAACACUUAGUAGAUUUCCAGCAAUGUCGAUACUAUACAAUCUAUAUAACCCAUGAAUUCCAUGUCUCGCGAUCGCAUUGUCCUUUCCGAUCAAACCGGUUGUGAAAAUAUGACCGGAUUUCGGAUCGUUGAUUCGAAUUUGUAGUUCGGAACUAGCGGCUGAUGCUAGAGCUAGUCGGAGUGUGUAGAGUCCGAUCCGGUUCACGUUUUUUAGGUUGAAUAUGAUUUGCCAUGUCGUUGGUUGGUAUGUAUCGUUACCAAAGUUUCUAUUGGAUUAAACGUUAAGAUAGUUAUAUAUAAUUUGAAUAGAAGCAUCAAAAAUAAGGAAUUAAAUACUUAUGUAGUACUAGUAUGUAUUUACCUCGUGACAUGUGCAAAGAACCAAUCUCUUCUAUAAUCACUUACACCGAUUGUGUAGACAAGAUCGUUUUGAGGGUAUAAAUCUGCGUAACGAUCCCAUAAUCCAUAUUGCCUAAAUCUGCAAUCAUUUAAAUUUAGUGCCUAUACUAGGAGUUUUGAAUUGGGUCAACAUGAAAAAACAAAAACAAAAAACGUAACAAACAAAUCAACCCAAUUAAAAUUCAGAACUCUUAAUUACUUAUACGUAGAUCUAUUAAAAACAGUUUUACAUGAGAAGAUAAUAGUACAAACCUGUCUUGAAGUGGGUUAACAUAAAGCUUAUUCAUCAGUGUAGGAUAAGGAUCCGGUAUAUAGAAUUCACCCGCGGUUCGAUCCGGUACACCGAUUUCCCACAAUGUUGGACCGUUUCUCGGCGGUUCAUACACUAUAGGCCCUACAUUCAUCUCGCUACCUGCACACCCCAAAAUAAAUAUUAACGCAGACAAAUAAUCGGGAUUUGAUCAACUGGUUCUCUAAUCAUAUGAGCUAAGUGGGUCUAAAAUGGACCUAAACAUACAUAAGUCAAAACUGAAGCCAAACCUAAUACAUUGAUUCAAUGUCACUUAUAUGUCAAUGUCCAAAUUAUCGUAAUAUUUUUCAAGAAAAUAAAUAAAUUGAAUACAUAUGAUCAAGCAUGCUUCUCUAGCUAUGAUCAAAAUGUGCUUAUAAUGGAUAAUUAUACGUAGUGUAUGUGUGUAAAUAUAUACCUGGCGUGAUGAUAAUGUUUUGCUCAUACUUAUAGUCUCCAAUAAAACCAAUACCCCAUGCGUAGAGACUAUAAUUGCCUGCCCUCACAUUCUCUAUUAUGAAUCUCCCUUUUCUGUCAGCUUUCGUCCAAAAUUGAUACCCCUUUUUUUCCCAAAAAUAAAAUUAAAACACACUUAUAACAAUUAAUUACAAUAAAAAGAAUCAUUUAUAUACAUUUGUAUGAAGUACUGUAUGAGUUGUUUUAUUAUCAUACCUUGGAUUCGGUUUGCCAUGAACCGGCUUCACCAAUUGGUGCCAAACCAACAAACGCAAAUUUUCCAUAUAUCUUUAACCUUGACACGUAACUACAACAUUAUAUAGUCCAAAACAAAAUAAGAUUACAAUCUAGAAGAACGUAAAUAUGUAAAAAUUAUAUUUGACAAAAAAAUAAGGGAUGUUUAUUUACCUGUCUUUGAUUAAGAAUUGACCUUCGAUAGUUCCUCUUUGAUGACGAAGAGGAUAAUCUUCUGAAGUUACAAAAUCAUAAGGCCAGCUUUUGACUUCUGCAGCCAUCUGUGACAAAUUAGUAAUUCACCAUUUUAUAUUAGUGUCAAUCUAAGUUUUCAAAAAGAAACAUAAGUUAAUAUAAUUGAUUCAUUUAGUUUAAAUGAUAGUAUGAGAAAGGAACCUGUCGUUUAGCAUCUCUCCAGAGACGAAGAGUGGAUUCUUUGGGAGAGACAGAGUUGAGAUAAACCAAGACAGGACCAAAAACUUUCUUCCAUGGCUCUCCAUUUCUAUAAUCCAUUCUCAUCUCUUUUCCCGCAUAAUGCGUGCUCGUAAACAUCUGCAAAAAACGUAAUUAUUUUAGGGGAAUUAACAACGUUAUUAACAAUUUCCAAAGUAUGAAUAUCAUGAUUUUUGGAGCAUUGAGAAUUAGCAAUCAAAACCUAAAUAUAUAUCAUGAUUUUUGGAGUUUUAAGUGUAUUUAAAAAAAAAACGUAUGAUAAAUGGACUCACGGAAAGUGUGAUGGGUCCAGCAUGAGAGGUGAGGUCUUGCUUGAUGGGGCCACCAAGACGGAACUCAUCGCUCGGAGUUAUCAUCCAAAACCCAACCGGUGGGUCCGAUGUGAUCCAACCAUGCACAUUGUUGUCUUUGUCUUCCAUUGAGUACAUAUACUUAUCAUCCACCUGCGUCACACCAAAUGACCAAAUCAUUUCCCCAUUGUGUGUUGUUUUAACAAAGAUAUAAACAAAACUACCCUGAAAAAAGAGACAUUUAUUUACGGUGACUAUUUAGGAACGGUAUAAAUUUGUUUUUUUUCAAUCGAAAUACAUAACAAAUUAUCCACACAAAAAAAAAACCUUUCAUAUAUAAUAUAUAGUUUUAUCGUGUCAAAUAUAAGUGAAUGAUGUAAAUGCAAUAUAUUAUUAGAUAUGGAGUAUAUUAGAAACAUGUAUAUAUAUACCUCUCCUUUGAGCAUAGGGUUGCUUGGAUUUGUCAAAAGAACAGCUUCUUUGUAAGCUAAUGUCUUAGAAUUGUCUCGAUCCGCCAUCGAUGGCAUGCUUCUCUGUCGAUCAUCGGAUAUCGCCAUAAAAUCAAAUCUGAAAUUCAUAUCCCAAAAGCCACAAAUUUUUUCACUAAAUUAACUAGUUGAAAUUGGCAUUUAAAUAUAAAUAUAACUAGUGAAAAACGUAUGGUUACUUUUUCGGGUUGAGCUUGAAGACAAUCCUGAUUUGGUCCAUGUCCACGUCGGGCCAACCUCCUAACCUCUCCAAUAUACCGUACAUGUAUAUUCCGGAGACACCACUUCGAAUAAUAUAUCUUCAGAAAAAAUUUACAUUGGAUUAUUAAAUUAUUAAUUACUUUGGAGGUCAUAAUUAUUAAAUACACAUAAAUAUCUCUUAAUUAACGAUGAUCUCUACGUACCUUUUAUCUACGUUUAGGGGGACCAAGGAGCCUCGUUUGGAGAUGGUCCACGUUCUUGUAAAUGAAAUUUCAAUUUGUUCUUCGUUCUGUGUUAUGAUUUCAAAUUUAGUUCCUUCUAAUCUACGAAAAACACACACAAAAAUAUAAAACUGUUAACUUUACAUGUAUAAAUAUCAUCAGAUACAUCGAUUUCAUUGUUCGAUUAUUAUUUGUAAUAUAUACGGAAUAAGAAUAUUUUUAGUGUAUAAAAUUAUAUCACCAUAGAUUGAAAAAUUGAAAUAAAUAUAUACUUCACGGUAAGCAUAAAAAGUUAUAAAAUUGACUGCGAGAUAUAUAACAAAACAAGACAAGGAGAGUCUGCAAAACUCACUUGUCAGUCUCCGAUUUCUUUCCCGGUUCAUACCAGACUACGUCCCAAUACCUAUUUCCAUAACAAUACGCCCAAAAAAAUUGCAAUUAGACAUUAUUAAAAAGUUCUUUUGAUUAGUAUGUAUUUUCUUAAUGUAACAUGUUCCAAACAUAUAAAGAAGUUGUGUUACAAACUCUUAUGUUAAAAGAAUAAAAGAAUCUUACCCACGAUCCUCAAUUUCGUCGUCCAACACAUUGUCGAUACCAUGGUAUUUUAUCCCAGUAAUUAAGCCUUGUGGGCUCGAGAAAGUAACUUGAACAAUACCAUUAUCAAUUACCACCUUAAAACCAACAAAAUUCUUAUUAUAUUGUAAGAAUAUAUAUAAAUUUGAAAGAAAAAAAUAAUUGAAUAAUUCUUACCGUGUCAUCAUGACCAACUCUCCUUAGCUGAACUGUUAAGGCUGGUAUGUUUUGUCCAGGCUUUGUGAUGUUAAGUUUGUUUCUGUAAUAAAAAAAAGAUAAAUAAAUUAGACCAAAUCCGAGAGAGAGAGAGAGUAGGUAUUUUUGGAUUAGAAUUAUUCAUUAUUUCAUAUUUUCAUUUAAGUUACAAUAAUAUUAAUCGAACUGUUAAAACUUAAAAGUAUUUAAAAUAGCUUCAAAAAACACUUGAGAGUUUUUAGCAUUAAAAUUACUAAUUUAUUGGUCCAAUAGUUCUAGGUAGGGUCUACUAAUUAGAGUAGAUGAUAUGAAAACAAAUUUAUUUAUUUUUAUUCAAUUUUUUGAAAUUUUAACCAUAGUGAUCUAGCUAGUUAUUAAUUAUAAUGGUUGCCUAUAUCCAUGCAAUCAAAGGAAAAUAGUUUUUGGUCUACUAAUUAGAGUCAUUGAUCUGAAAACGAGUUAUUUCAUUUUUGUUUGGGUUUAAGAACUUCAACAUUAAAACUGUAGUAGUUAAUGUAUAUGGUACGAACUCCACUUGAAUAUGAACGGUCAAAUUAAUUAGUUGAAGAGUGUUGAAGACGGAAAGAAUAAUUCCAAUUGAGGGAACACAAAUAUCCAUCAUGGUAUUAAAAGGCAUAAAGAACAUAAAAGUACUAUAUAAAAAUAAAUAAUAGUAUAAAAUAAUCUGUUAAAAGAAAAUAUACCAAAUAUUUUUUGUAUUAUAUGUGUGUGAGAACUGAGAAGAAGAGAAGUACUAGUUUAAAAAGAAAGACAAGUAGGUUUUGAGCCGAAAGGUAAAAAGUAACCCAAUAUUUUUCCAAUGUUGUAAUUAAAAAAAAUAAACGAAGGUUGAAAUUUGAAAGAUUAAUAAGAGAAAUUCCAUAAACAUUGUAUUCUUCGUUUUUUUUUUUCGUUUAACGGAAAUAGUGACUUUUUGACACUCGUCUCGUGACGAUCUCGGUUUCCAGAUUCUCCUCUUUAGAUGUUUUACGUUAUAAAAUUUGAAUGUUUUAACAACAAAAAAAAAAGUAUAUGUUUUUUUUUGUCUUUCUAACAAUUGAUAUAUAUAUAUAUAUAUAUAUGCGUGUGCAUGUGUAGUUUAGAUAUAAAUCCAAAUUAAAGAAAGUAGCCAAGCAUUGUCAAUUUGUCAUUACCAACGAAACUUCAAUUAUGUUUUGGUAAACCAUUUGUCAUAUAGUCAAGGGAAUCAAAACCAUUUCAUGAACAAGAAAAAAUUAAUAGUACAAUAAUUACCUUUAAAAGUUAAAAUGGAAAACUCAGCAGAAAAAAAAAAGUUAAAAUGGAAAUGGAAUCAAGGGAAACCUUAGCUUUUUCUUUUGUUUAUUGCGUAUUGACUAAAAUUAAAGCUAAACAUUUAUUUUAAUUAUACUUUCGCCUUAAGGAUUUUUUAUAUAUAUAAUGGUUUAAUUCGUCUUAAGGCUUAUAAUUUUAUAAUUAUACUGUAUAAUUUCCUCAUGAACACAAGAAAAAAGACAAGUGAAAAACUACAAAACAGUGCACCAGAUUCUGAUGAAAAAAGUUAAGAACCUCUGUUUGUUCCUUUCAGUAAGUUUGACAUGUGAACUUGGAAAUUUAAAGCUUGUGAAAUCAAUGUUUGCGUUUAAAAAAAAAACAAAAAUAAGGUACAAAAAAACUAAAUGGGUAAAAAAGACCCGACCCGACACAAACAGAGAUGGGUUAAGAGAAAACGUACUGUGAUCUCUGAGAAUGAACACUUUGAAGAAGAAGAAGAAGAAGAAGAAGAUGUAGAAGAAGAACUUGCACAAUGAUCCGACCCGGCUUAUUCGCCGGAGCUCCAACUUUCAUCUCCACCACAAUUCACUAAACUUCCGACAUAGAAACCAACCGUUAAGGCAAAGAUACGUAUAUCAUCAACACACAAAUAGGCGUUUGUGUGAAUAUAUAGACAAGCAUUAAGAAAACCUUUUUUAAGGUUUAACUAAAAAUGAGGAUUAAUUACAAGGAAAAAAAUCUGCAACAAUGAAAAAGUAAUUAAGUUUACCUUUAAGAUUUUCUUGUGUUUUGGGUUUCUUGGUAAGAUAAAAUUUGAGGAAUGCAGAAGAAGAAAGAAAUCUUUUCCUUUUGUUCAAAAAAAAAAAAAAAAAAAAGAAAGAAAUCUUUUCCUAUGAAGAAGGUAAUCUCUCUCUCUCUCUUCUCUCUCUUCUCUCUCUUCUCUCUGAAAUUCACUGAUUAUUCUUUUUUAAGUGCUUACAAUAAUUAUAGGAUUAGAAUCUUAAGUAGCUUUAUAUAUCUCACAGAGUCUGCAUUCAGAUGUGGGGGAGGUGUAUAUAGAAAUAUAUGUGUGUAUGUAUAUGUUGCAUAUAUAUCUAAAUUCGUGGGCAUACGUAAUUGAUCUAGACCAUCUUAAGGUUGCAGGUGUGACUUUUUGUUGCCUAACCUUUUCAUCUUUUUUUAUUAUAAAAAAGAUAAAAAUGUAUUAAAUAGAUGAUCUUAUUUUGCUGUAAAAAUAUAUAUGUAUAUAUAUAUAUAUAUAUAUUAAAUUAAUAAACGAGAAAUAUCAUAUACUAUUUUUCAACUAAACAAAUAUUAUUGCUGUGUUCUAACUAAUACAUUCAUCACAUAAAAUAAAUAAGAAAAUGUAUGCUUUAGGUUAAUCGAUAUUACGAGUAAAAAAAACAGAAACUAUGAGACUUUUGUGUUAAGAAAAUGGGAACAUCGAACAUGAAGAAAAAUCAGGAUAAAAAAGAAACUGAACAAGAUUUUUUUUAGUUUACGAAUUCUAAUUUAAUUUAUAAGUAGUCUAACAGUUAAAUGUAUUACUACUACAUUCAUAACAAUGAGGUAAUUAAUAAUUUGAAGUUAUUUUUUCCGUUUCAAAAUAUAAUAUGUUAUAACUAAAAACACGUAGAUUAAAAAAUAUAUAUUUUAAAAUUGUUCAACCAAUCAUAAAAACAACUGCAUAAUAUAAAUAAUUAUAAAAUAUCAAACUAAUCUAUAAUUUGUUUAGAAACUUGAAAACAUAUUAUAUUACGAAACGGAGAGAAUAUAAAUUUUUAUCCCAACUUCAUUCAAACUUUGUCCCGAUUGAAAACACACUCCUAUAUGAAACGGACAUGGGUAGAUGAAAUCAAGACAGGCCAGACAGAACUUUUGUCCAUCCUAAAUAACAUUUACCAUUGAAAAAUAUUUACAUUCAUUUGUCAAAUUUAACCUUACCUCAUUGUCCCAUGCGCAAAAAGUUUCUGCUUCGUUUUUUUUUUGGACAAAAAUGUUUCUUCUUCUUUGUUUUAUUUGUUGUCGUUUUAUGAUGUAAUGAAACUUGUUGAACCUCUGCCUAUAAUUUGUUGUUAAGUUUCACAUAAAUGUUUUGGCAUUUCAUUUACUCACAAUUACUUUAACGUCUAAAUUUUUUUUUUUUUAAAAACCGUUUGUAUACGGGUAACCUCUACGAACUUAGAUUCGUCAAUCGGUCAGAGUACGGUCAACUUUCCGUAUCUUAGGCGAAGUACCAAAUUAAAAUUGUAAAGAAAAGUAGUAAUAACUACCGAAUGGUACAUAGAAUUUCUCUUACGACGACUUUUGGAGGGAUUCAAAAAUAUUAGUUAUUCAGAAAAUAUUACUCCCUCCGUUUCGUUUUAGCUGUCGUUUAAGGUUUUCUCACACAAAUUAAGAAAACCAUUAAAUGUUAUGUUUUACCCUUUAUUAAGAUAUUUUAUAAUUUUUUCAUUGGUCAAAACAUUAAAACAAUAGGGAUAAAACUGGAAUUUUUACAAAACAUUUGCAUUGAAAACCUAAAACGACAACUAUUAUGAAACAAAAUUUAAAUCCUAAAACGACAACUAAACUAAAACGAAGGAAGUAGUAUAUUGUUAAAAUAUAAAAGUCAGUGAACCAAAACGACGACUUAUGUGUGAAACACCCAUUAAAAAAAAAAAACUACGGGUCAAAACUCAACAAGUAUCCAUAAAGAAUUAUCUCUAGUGGGUAAUUAAAAAUUUUCUUCUUCUUCUUCAAGUAAGUGCACACUUCUUUGAUCGAUUUCAAUUAUACAACUUGAGAACUGUCAAUCCUUCUAACAAAACAAAUUCGACCGAAUUUUUGGUUUGAAUUUAGGUUAUAAACACUAUGGUGACACCAGUAUAUACAAUUAAAAUUAUAUAACCCGGUUCUACAUACAUUAUAUGCAUGAGUAGAUAUAUAAAUUAGUAGGAGUACAAGGAAUUUAUUUGGAAAAAAGUAAACAAAUACUUCCUCCGUUCCUUGAAGUUUGAUGUUCUAGUGUUUUGAGUUUGUUCCACAAAGAUUGAUUUUCUAGAUUUUUUUUUAUUUUUAAUUAAUUGAUUUUAGUAAAUCGUAGAUUUCAAGGUGUAAUGAUUAACUGUUUCAGAUUACUAUUGGUUCAUAGUUUAUUAAAAAAUAUUUAAUAAAAGUAAAUAAUUAAACAAUGAUUGUUUCUUAAGAAAUGUGAAAUGUCUAGAAAAUCAAUCUUCUAGGAACAGAGGGAGUAUAUAAUGGGUUAGUUCGUACGGUAUCAAAUUGGCCAAACAAAAUAGAAGAUGAUGAUGACAUAAUACCGAAAUAACGGUCUUAAUUUGACUUACACAUUAGGAUUUGAGACUGUAUCUCUCGACCCCAAAAGAAUAUUUAGAAUACAUUAUAGAAUAUAUAAAAAUCGCAUACUAUGUUGACAAAAAAAAGUUCUCUGGUAAUUAGGUAAUAACGAGAUGAUCUAACUCUACUACUUUUCUAUUACUUUUCGAUAACUUUAAGUGAUUAAGAGAGGUACUUAAUGCAGUCGAAAGUUGAAUGUUUCUAACUUUCUUUGCGAAUAACUUUUCUUACACAAAUUACAAAUACAAUUCUUGAUUAUAUAAGUCAUAAGAUACUUUUAUUUACCAUCUACACACGGAUAUACUAUCUAACCAUUGGAAAAGUACUUAUAAUACUAUUGCUAUAUCAUAUGUAGAUAAAUUAAAUCAAAAGAAAUUGCCAAACCUAAAACUUAAUUAAAGACAUCAACCAUUUAUAAACAAAUGAUGGCGCAUCAAGCCGACCCACUAUAUACAUACAUACAACGAUACAACAUAAUUAAAUAAACAUAAUUACAUAACAAACAAAAACACACCACUAUAUACAAGCAACGAUACAACAUAAUUAAAUAAACAUAAGUACAUAACAAACAAAGACACAUUUAGACUUAUGUGUGGCUGUAUGCAAAUUAGAGAUACUAUAAUAGUUACACGAUACAAAAGAUAAUUAAAAAUGAAGAUAAACAUAAAAAAGCGAAAAAGAUAUAUAUAUACAUUACAUUAUGGGUAUUAAUCUAAUAAUUACGGCAAAAAUGCGUUACAGCUUCGUGGUUUCGUUGGUGCAAGACAACAUUUUCAAAGUAGGUUAGUUACAAUGGUAGAGAGACUAUUUAAUUUUCAAUUUUCCUCUUUUGAAAAAGGAACAAAUUCACAUUUAAUUUUCUUAUUUCAAAAGUCAAAUUUGGUUGAGUUCUUCUUUCCCCGUAACCGUAAGUUUAUGUGUUUUUCAACGCAUCGUAAGGUUAAAGUUGUUGAAACGCAUAAUUAUCUUUGUGUAUCUAGUAUGUUUUCUUCUUCUUCUCGUUAAUGAUAUUCAUAUUAGUACUAUAGAGUAGGUUUGAUAUUGUUGAGCUAAGAUUUUGAUAUUCAUGGUUCUUUGAACGAUUGAAUAUAUAUUUGAGUAAAGCCUAUUUAAACUGGUACUUUUUUUUCAUUUCAACUUUCACAAAUCGCAAUUUAGGGAAAAAUUUAUGUUUCAAGAACGACUUCUUUUCUACCUAUAGAUCAUUUUGUUUGAAAAAUAAAACCAAAUUGUUGGAUAAUGCUUUUAGUAAAAAGAACAUAUGAAUUAUUUUUUGCAUAUUUUGGAAUUUAAGUUUAGGCAAAAUUAAAUGAAAUAGCAAAUAAUUAAUUCUUUUUGCAUGUGACCAAAUUGCCUUGAAAUUCAAGAGUCCAUAUAUAUAUGUGGAAAACGUCAUUGGUGAUGGGUUGUUGUUGCUUCAGAUAUGUUGUUGAUCGAACUUAAAGUCGCUUCAUUUGGUAUUUGUAAGUGAUCAUUGUCUUCCGGCUCAACGAAAGGUGCUCUUUCUCAAAAUAAUAUGAUGCAAAAUGGUUGAGAUGAACAUCAGUAAUAUGUGUAGUUUUAUGGCUAGAAAAUUGUCGGUAAUAAGAUACAAUGUGAUGUGCUAUCGGCAGUUGGAUAUGAUAAACCGUAUAUCGCGGUUCACAAAACCUUUCAUUGAGAAACAAAGCGAUCUACCCGUUGCUUGGAGUUAGUCUAAAAAACAAACAAUCUUUCAACUUUGUUGUAGAUAAUUCUGACUUUUAAAAAGGAAAUAAAAUCUGAUGCAGUUGAAAGUGUCUUUAAAAACUGCAUCAAUUCAUCGAUACUUUUUAGGGCUAUUGGACGUUGAAUUCAGUCCACUACAUUACACAAACAUAAUUGCAAUGUUAUCUUUUUCCUUUUUAAAUGCUCACUAUAAAAAUCAGACAAAAGGAUAAAUUUGAGAUAAUACGUGAUCAUGACCACAACUAAUAAAUAAGACUUAAUCAUGUUUCUGGUGAACAAACGUAUAAAUUAUGUCAAUUCGUCUAGUGUUGUUUUAGUUAGCUUAUAUUUUACUAAUUUCGCCUAAAUAAAAGUUAUUUGAUCUGGUUAACAAAAAAAAAAUAUAUAUAUAUAUAUAUUUGAUCUAGUUAUUUGUAUUGAGUUUCCUCUAUACUCGCUUGUAGGUGACACCUAUCCAAACCGAAACCAAACCGAAAACUGAUCCGAAUCCAACACCUAUCCAAACCGAAACCAAACCGAUGACUCAUAAAAUCCGAAUGGAUAAUAAACUCUCCUACCCAAAUUAUCUGAAUCCAAAUAUAUAUCCAAACCGAGACCGAACCGAAAAGUCAUAAAAUCCGAACGGAUAAUAAACUCUCAAAUCCGAAUAUAUCCAAAUCCGAAUAUAUCCAAUUCGAAUCCGAUCUGAAAUCCAAAUGCCCGGACCUACUCUCUUGCGACUAACUCCGGUGAAGGAUUAAAAAAAAAAAACUAAAAAUAGAUUUGUGCUUCUAGAAAAUUAAUUAACGAUUUAUAGUGAAGAAGAAAAAGGACAAAGAUUAGUCACAUGGAUAUCAUUGUUGAGGAUUCACAAGACUUGCUUAUGUCCCUUUUGCCCUUUACCAAAUUGUUUCUGUCUACUCUUGUAGAUUCUCCACAUAAAUGAUAACAUGCGUUCUCUUGUUUUUGCCAUAGUCUCUAUUUCUAUAACUUUUUUUUUUCUCUGUUAUUUAACUUUAAGCUAAUAUUUUUAGCGCCAGUUAAAAAAACGCAACUUAUUUGAAAAUUUGAUGGAGUCUUUAUAGUAAUUGUCAUAUUUGGUAUUAAAUUCAGGUUAACAUCAUAUGUGCUUUAGUAAAAAAUUGAGUGGAUCCGCAAUAAACAAAAGUAAUUAUUUACAUAUAAAAGUUAUUUUGUCGUGUUGAUCACCAAAUAAUUAAUUUUAAUCUGAAAAAAAAGAUUUUGGACUAGAGAGUGUAAAUUUUCCAAAAUAUAUAUAUGAACUUUUUUCUUCCAAACAGAUAGUAUCUGGUCUUUGUGGCUUCUUCUUCACCAUAUGCUAGCCUCUUUGGACUAACCAUGGCACUGCCUAAUCACAACAGUAUUUUUCAUAGUAGGCCUUCGGCCGGCCCGUGAGUCCAACAAGAGAGUGUCUCCAUUUCUUUAUUGCAGUCCACAAUCCAUAUAGAAUUGGUCCUAAAUCAAAUAAAAGGGAGAGCAAAUUUAAUAUGAUUUAUUUAUGAGAUGUUUGAAUUAUCAUUUCCAUGUUUUUAAGUUAAACCACGACGAAAACUUUUAUUUGAUAAAUUUAUAAUGCGACUAGCUAGAUGAAUGAAAAGAAAUAUUCAAAAUAGAAGAAUAACAAAAACAAGUUGGCUUGAUAUAAAUUAUCAACGUCUAAAGAAGUGAAGCAACGUAAAUUUCUCUACUAGUCAUCAUAAGUUCAUAACCAUCUUAAUCUAAAUUAGAGAGCACAAAAAGAAAAAAGAAGAAUAACAUAAAUUUUAUGGAUUAGAGAGAUCAUAAGGGAUUAAUAUGAAAGUAAAGAUGAUGGAGAAAAAAAAAAAAAAAAAAGAUGAUGGAGAAACGUUAUGGUUAAUUACAUCUGAGGGGCAGUCCUCAGGUUUGAGGAACUCUUAGCAAUUGUCACCACCAUUCACAAAAAUUUAACAACUGCAUGUAUUUCUCAGUUUAAAGAAUAUGAAAAAUGAAAUAAAAAGUCAAAUUGAAUGUGGUUCACUAACUUGUAGUAUAGUUUACUUACCCAUAAUUGGUGUGUAUAAGUGCGGACUAUUUUUUUUUUUUUUUUCCCCAUAAAUAGAAAAUGUUUUUGUACAAACUAAGGGUGUGACUGGAUGUUAUAAAUAGAGGAAAAGAAUUGGAAAGAAAAAUAAUUCUUCUCAAUUAUUCUGUCAUUCCUCCAAUCAAGAAGAAUUUAUUCACCGACCAAUUCUUCUCAAUUCUUCUACUUUUCAGUAGAAACAACUAUAAAAAUUUCCUCCCAUAAAUACAUGGUAUACAAAUUUCUUCUACUAUUUAUUUUUCUUUUCUUCUCAUUUCCUCUCUUAUUUUUCUUCUCUUUUCUUCUUAAACCAGACCAGUCACACCCUAACUUUUUUGGUUAACGUAAUUCUAUAUCCAUAUAAUAAGAGUUAAUGAAGUAUCAGUAAUUUUAUAAAAAUGGCAAUAACAUGAUCAACUGUUAAUGAAUUUAAACAAUGAACUCAUGAUGGCCAACAACCUUGGAACAUAUAGUACAAUUACAACCAGAGUUCAAGUUCCAAGGACUCAAAUUUCAAGCUUCAAUAAUUAAGUAACUAGCUAAAACCUCAUAAACCAGUGGCGGAUCCAGGAUAAUAACUUGUAUGGGGCACAGCUUAUGUGUAUAAUUAACAAUAUUAAAGGCUGUAAAAAAAAAACUAACAAUAUUGAAUUUACAUAAUAAAAUGAAACCAUACAUGACGGAAAAUAAAUAAAAUAAAACCAUAUAUUUUUACCUUUAAUCUAUAUUAUUAAUUGGGAAGCAUUGGAUAAUAAAUAACCUUAUAAAGGGUAAAGAAUUACAAAAAAUGCCAUUGGUUUUUAGUGUUUUUAAAUAACUUCAUUAAGGGUACAAUAGUAAUCACAAAAUUAAUAUAUUUAAAUAAAAAAUAGUUUAAUUCUUUUAAAUACUUAUUAAUUUCCAAAAAAAUAAACUAAUUUUCUCUCUCUUAUUAAUUAUAAACGAAAAUUUGAAAUUAAUUUUUUAAAAAUUGUUAACCAAUAGGAAUUGAAAAUCUAAGAUUUGAUAUCCAACUAAGAUUUUUUCUAAACCAAUCCUAAUAGACUAUUCUAUAUCAAAAAUAAAAAUAAAAAUAAUAUCAUUUUAAUUCAAAAUUAAAAAAAACUAUCAUUUAAAAAGAUUUAUCAAUGGAGGAUUUUAAGAUUGAAUUUGAAAUUUGGUAAAAAAAAUUAAAUGCAAAUAUUUUAAUAUUCAGUUUUGUUAUAAUAUUUUUAUUACAAAUUUUGAAAUAUAAAACGAAAUUUUAUUUCAUAAUUUCUAAAAAACCAUAUUAAAUAUUAACAAAUAUUUAUUUUUACUAUGAAAUAAACUCAAAUAAUAAUAAAUUUUAAGUAAUUAUCAUAAUGGUUUUCGUUUAGAGCAAUUUUCGAAAAAAUCUAAACAAUAGAAUGUACAUAUUAAUUUUGAAAUAUUUUGUGUUUUAUUUUUUUCUAUUCAACUCAGAUCUUCCUUAAAUAAUAACUAGAUGCAAAUAUUAUUUAAGGAAGAUUUUAAGAUUGAAUUUGAAAUUUGGUAAAAAAAUUAAAUGCAAAUAUUUUAAUAUUCAGUUUUGUUAUAAUAUUUUUAUUACAAAUUUUGAAAUAUAAAACGAAAUUUUAUUUCAUAAUUUCUAAAAAACCAUAUUAAAUAUUAACAAAUAUUUAUUUUUACUAUGAAAUAAACUCAAAUAAUAAUAAAUUUUAAGUAAUUAUCAUAAUGGUUUUCGUUUAGAGCAAUUUUUGAAAAAAUCUAAACAAUAGAAUGUACAUAUUAAUUUUGAAAUAUUUUGUGUUUUAUUUUUUUCUUUUCAACUCAGAUCUUCCUUAAAUAAAUCCAUAAUAUAUUGCACACAGUUUUUGAAAUUAUGUAAACUAAUUAUAUAUUUUGCAUUCAACACAAAUUAUGCAGCAAUAGCAUAUCCCUUUUAUAGAUGUAUCUAAAACUUUUAUUUUUAGUCCAAAUAUUGAACUAAUUAUGAUUAAACAAUGAAAAGAAGAAUAUGCAAAAUUUAGCUAAGGAAAGAAACAUUAAUAAAUUUGUUAAAAUAUUUGUAACUUUAACAUCAUACAUAUUAAUCCGCAAAACUCACCGUAUGUAUUUUAUGGUAUUUUAAACAAGAAUUUGGAACAUGGUUUUAAUGGAAUGAAAUGAGAAUAAGAAUUACGAGACGGGAUGACAGGGGAACAUAAAUUAAAAAUCAAACUUAAUACUCAACUGGUAUGAGUUUGUGUUAUGAGCACUAUAUAAAAUAAAUUUGUUUACACACAUAACCUUAUACGUACGUUUUUAGUUACAAUUUAUGACAGAUACGGGACCGUAAUAUUUUUAUUUCACGUAUACGAGACGGGUUAUGGGACGAAAUAUUUAUGACAUAUACAAGACGGGAUAGGUUUCCUGUUCCAAAAUAGUUACGCCUAGCUAAUAUACAUGAAAUAAUCCAAACUAAACCGCAUAUGUAUCCUAUUUAACACAUGUAAUCAAACUGUUAGAAAUGUUUUGAAUAGUUUAGAAAAUAAAAACGUAACAUCACUUAACUUUUGCAACUAAAUAAUAUCUUAAUUUUAUAUUAAAUACAAUUUCACACGUACGUGUAGGUCCGAAUCUUAAAAUAUAACUAUGCACUAACGCAACUAAAUUUCGUUCAUUACUCUAACUUUAUAAUAUCUAUAUUAUUACAAAGUUCACUAACACAACAAAAUAUUUUAUAUUUUUAAAAUCUAUAUAACAAUUUCUAAAAAAAAUAUCUCUGCACGUACAUGUGGAUCUAGAUCUAAUACACUAAAAUAUACAUCAUAAAAACAAUAAAAUAAUCUAUAUUGUAUGAAAAUUUGUAAGAAAUGUUUUUGAAAUAUGAAACCCCGCACGUACGUGCGGGUCAGGAUCUAGUAAUCUUUAAUUUAAAAACCUAAAAGAAAUCAAAAUGUUUGAAAGUACUAUAUCUAUAGGUUUCUAAAUAUACUAAAUUACAUAUUGGAUAAUGAAAAUACAGUUAAAAAUAACUUAAGAAAUGUAAAUAUAUAUUUAUCAUUAAAAUUUACAUAUAUAAAAAUAUCACACAAAUUGAAACUCUAAAUAUUAAAUAAACUACAAAAAGAUAGUAUUCUUUACUAAAUUUACUAAAAAAUAAUUAAAAAGUAGGUGUUAAUUUUUUAUAGUAGAGAAACAUGUCUUAAAAUAUGUUAAAAUUUAAACUGGAAUUAUAAUAACAAUAGAACCAAAAGAGAAAAUUUUAAUAUAAGAUAAUAAUAAAAAGUAAUAAUCACACCCAAAAAAAAAAGGAAUAGCGAAAAUGCAAAGUUGCAAACAAUUAUAAUGAAGAAUAAAAUUGUAGGAAGACAAUUUUUUUAAAAAAGGGACGUGGACAGUGGCUACAAAUAAAAAAAGUCAAAAAAGAAUAAAAAUAAAAGCUGCUGAAUAAGGGAAUCGAACUCGUCACCUUGCAUUUUGUAUGGGGCACACAUUGCCAACUGAACUAAGAAAUUUUGACAUACCAUUAGCAAUUAGACAAAUAUUAAUAAGAUCAUGGGGCACGUGCCCCACCCUUUGAUACUGUAGAUCCGCCCCUGUCAGAAACUAAAUGUAAUUUUAACUUUAUGGAGUAUUUGGAUUUAAAAAUUUGCAAAUGGAUAAUGGUAAUAUAUGAGUACUCUUUAUUUUAUGAAGUUCACGUGAAUAUAGUUCACUAAACCGGUGAUCCGACGAUAUUUUUGUACGAACGUAAGAUUUGCUUAAAAAACAAAAAAAAAACGUAACAUUUGCAUGAUAAUGUUGCAAAAAAAAAAAAAUUUAUAAGAAAUUUACAUUUGAUAAGUUUUGUUUUACAUUAAUUAAUAUCAUCAAUCACGGUAAUAAUCCUUUGUAGAUGUAUACACAUACAUUGGUAAGUGAUAGUCAUUAUAUAUAUAUGUUUCAUUAAUUUGUGUGUGUCAGUCAGUGUGUGUUUGGUUAAGAAAAAAAGGGAUAAAUGUAAUGGUCCAAUUUCUGAUAUAAAGUACAAAAAGAGAAGUAAGAAAUUGUAAAUGGUUAAAAGUUUAAAACUGAUAAAAGGUAUUAAUGUGUUUCUAGCUUAGUUGGUAAAAUUUUAUUUACCCAUAAUAAGUGUCUAUAAGUGCAAACAACUUUUAAUAAAUCUGCAGUAGUACAUUGGUUAAAUUUCCCUUUAAAAAAUCAAAAGUUCAUCAAAGAACCGGUGUCUAGUAGUAAAAGGAGAUUGUUUUUUUUUGUAUCUCAGGGUUCAAACUUACUUUGGUACAGAAAAGUAUUUUUUAAAAAUUGGAACAUCUAAAAACUGACUCUGGAUAUUGCUAAAAUUAUGGGUUAAUGAUUUGGAACUCUCACGGUUUAACAAAAAAAAUCACAAAUUAAUGACAAUAUAGUUAUUUUGGUAAGAGAUAAUGAAAUUACUAGAAAAAUGAUAAUAUACGACUUUAAUUUUCGUUGGAUCGUUUUGAUUGAUUUUUUUUUGUCUCCUUGUUUGAUUAAAUAACUAUUACUGCUAUAAUAAGUAAUUAUCAAUUUGCCAAUCAAAUUCAUACAUAUUUUCCAAAGAAAGUUAAAGCAGUUAUUUAUAAUUAGUUUUGAAAAAAAACCAAAAUCUUUUCUUUUAGAAGGAUCAAAAUGACACUGACGGCUGAUGGUUGACAUCUGGCAGGUAGAUUUUGUUUUUGUUUUCUUAGUUUCAUUUUAAGGAUAAACAUUAUCUGUGUUGGAGACUCGAGAUAUGAUUGGUCGAAAACAAACCCACAUGGUCACCAUGUUGUCAUUUUAGGUCCCACCUAAACUCUUCAAAAGCAUUAACAGUAGGGAUACUAAUUUUAAUUAGGAAAAACCUGAAGCACUGAUUUCAAAACUUUGAAGCAUAGAUUAGUAAUAAUUUAAUCUCUGUAAGUGAUAAAUUUUUUCACAUGCAUGAUAAUAAAAAACGAUCAUAUUUUGGAAAAACUAUGAUCGAGAUCUCUCAUCAGAAUUUUAACUAUUAUAAACUUUUAUAAAUAUUAAUCACGAAUGAUGAAUCUUCACACUUCUUUUUGGAAUCAAAGUAUCAAACUAUUGUGCCUACCAAAAAAAAAAGUAUCAAACUAUUGUUUCUUAGGUUAUUUCAAAAAAUAUCUGAAGCUGAGUUUAUAAGAAAAAAUAAAAAAUUCUGAAUCUGAUAUAUGUAGUUUAGAGUUAGAGAUUGAUACAUUUUCACUUGUAUUUAUCGUUUAUAUGGCAAAACUAUGAUCGAAAUCUUUUUUUUUUUUUUUUUGCUAUGAUCGAAAGCUCAAAAACUCUAUACAUAAAAAAUAUAUAAGAAUCAAGAAACUUGAUACUAUCUUUUUUGUUUUGUUUUUGGUUUUAAGAUACUAUAUUUUCUUUAACCAAAUUUGUAAUGAGUCACUCUAACUCUUGUAUUUUACAAUAAGUUUCUGCAUUUUUGGUCCAAAAAGCUUCUCUACUGAAUCAAAGCAAGUAAGUUUAGUAUCCUCCUCAGUCCUCAACCUUGAAAACUCGAUAUAUUGAUGCAUAUAUUUCUUUUGGAAAGUCUCUUUUUAACAAAAUUUAUUUGUAAGACUGAACAUUAUAGCAAAAGAAAUUUGUAAUAAAGAAAUUAAUGGUUAGUUCACAAAAAAAAAAAAAAAAAAAAGAAAUUAAUGGUUCAGGUGUAUAGAAUUAGAAUCUUAUGAUAUUGAUGGGGGAAAGCAUCUCCUAAUUGGCAUUCUCAGGAGCUGUUUCUGCUACUCUCACGUGUACGACUGUCACACUCACACAUUUGCAUAUUCCACAUUUCAACCAUAUAAUAUAAACUAUUCUCUCCGUCCAACAAAGAUAGAUUUUUUAGAAAUUUCACAUUCUUUAAAAAAUAAUGUAUAAUGACAAUUUUAACCUUUUAACUUUUUAACACAUUUUAAAUAGUAUAUUUUUAUUGUUGUUUAAUAAGAGUAAAAUAGGUAAACUGUUUUAAAUUUGACAUUGGAAACAUAAAACUUCUAUCUUUGUGGGACAAAUUUUUUUUCUAAAAAGUUCAUCUCUGUGGGACGGAGUGAGUAUUUACUAACAUAAAUUAUAUAUAUAAUUAGUUGUUGAUAUUAAUUGGAAUUCAAUGACCAUUAAAUGAAACUUUAAAAGCAGACAUAAAUCAAUUUCUAGUUUGGUUUACUUGGAAUAGAUGGUAAUCAAAAUUUGGUCUAUAUGUUGUGAAUGUCCUAUUGAAAACGGUAAAUUAAACUUAGAUCAUUUAAUUCAAUAUAUAAUGUAUACUGUACAUUAAGUAAAGUAAUUUAAUUAAGUACAGGUAAAUUGACUUCUAAUUAACGAGUUUGCUCAUUCUCUGAUAUGUAUAACUUGCCCUUUUUGGAAACUUGCAAUAGAUCUAAAUAUGUUGAUAGAGAAUAUAAUGUCCGCAACUCCUAGUUUAUGUCUGACAUGUGUCAACAAUUUUUGUAAUUUAUUUUAAUUAAAGAAAACUAUCAUCAAUUUUUAAUAUAUAUAUUCUCUAAAUUCUAUCUACCUUUUUACUUUCUUUUUUUUUUCACCAAAAAAAUAGAUUUUAUAGAUAAACAUGGAAUACAAAAGCCGGCAAGGGACAAACCUUUCCAGAGUCUAAGCCGGCGAGUACAUGAAGAUUCCCAGAGACAAAGAUCAAACUAAAGAGAAACCUUAGGCAGUGCCAUGCUAAGGCUAAUUGUAGCUUAGGGCGAAUAAAAAACAUGGCUUUUAUUACUAAAAAAAAAUCAAAAUAACAAAAAUAUAUAUUGUUUCAAAGCAUACACAGUAGUGAUAAGAUGAAAGAAAAGAAAAUUUCUAAACCACUAUUUUUCUAUCCUUUUUUUCCUAAAAAAUCAUUCAUUAAACUCAACUAAUUUUGUUUUUAAUUAAAUUUUUUAUUUUUAAGUGGUUGAUUGAUAAUUAUUUGAAGAAGGAAUACUCAAAAUCAAUUUCCUUUUUUCUUUCAAAUUAUCCUUUUCUUUUAAAUAUGCAGAUGAUUCCAAAACAAAUUUUUUUUAUUCUUAGUUAUCUUUUAUUAAAAUUAUCUUCCAUUAGUGCUAUAUUUAUAAACUAAAAUCCAAAGCAUGUGCAAAAAUUUCCUAAUACAUAACGUAUACAUAUUGAUAUUAUUCUAAUGUCAUGGGCUUCUCAAACAAAUACCCACUAUACAACUUAAUUACAUAAGCCUUAAAAAAAAUUCAAAAAAAUUUUGUGGCUUUGGGCAAAUGCCCUUUUCUCUUCCCAUUAAGCACGGUACUGACCUUAGGGAAAAAACCCGAACAACUAAAUACAUAACAUCCGAACAAAAACUUCCCGGAUUCAUAAUCCAAAGACUCAAAUUAAACUUACAAAGCCUAAAUCAAAAAUAAAAUAACAGAUCUGAGACUAGAAGACUCUCCUUACCACAACCUAAACUCGAUGGAAUGAGAGUCACUUGUAGGAAUGAAGGAGAUCGAGAUCUUCAAGGUGGAAUUUCAAAGUCUGAGGCGAAGAAGGAUCGGAUCGAACCUGCGCCUUUGCCAUGGAUGGAUCGGCCAGAUCUGAGGCUGAGCUUGGAGGAGAACAAAAGACAAGCCGCGAGAACCCAAAGGAAGAAGAUUUAUACUUUAUAAAUUUAGAUCUGAAAUUCUAGAUGUGAAAUCGUUGGAAGAAAAGAAGCUUGGAUGCGCCGGUAGAAAAAGGGAAACGAAACUAAAGCAUGGAACAAAGAAAAACCCCGGUUCCGGUGCUGAAAAAGCCACCGGAACUGGUAACCCUAGAUGGAGGGCGGCGGCUGCGAAAGUUUUUAGAGAGAAGGCGGAGAGAUUUUUUAAGAGAGAGAGAGCGUGUGUGCCAUCUACCUUUUUACUUAGCUAAG
RNAcentral lists this long non-coding RNA (36593 nucleotides) under Arabidopsis lyrata. Its description in RNAcentral is "long non-coding RNA (ALYR_LNC001871)". The stretch from base 2001 to 2073 matches the Rfam family "tRNA". The record is from RNAcentral. Lineage: Eukaryota; Viridiplantae; Streptophyta; Magnoliopsida; Brassicales; Brassicaceae.